Microcebus murinus (gray mouse lemur) is the source of this 437-nucleotide non-coding RNA. Lineage: Eukaryota; Metazoa; Chordata; Mammalia; Primates; Cheirogaleidae. The record is from RefSeq and is a predicted model, not a curated record.
AGGUGGUAUCUCAUCCUUUGGGAGCCCAGCCCAGGCUUCUGUACUUGGUAGUCAAGGUUCCCAGUAGCAAGAGAGCGCUUUCAAAGCCUCUGCUGUGUCAUAUUUGCUAAUGUUUCUUUUUUUUUUCUUUUCUUUUUUGCAAGCCUUUGAUAAUGUUUCAUUAUCCAAAGCCAAGUCACAUAGCCAAGUCACAUAGCCAAGUCACAUAGCCAAGCCCAGAUUCAAGGAUUGAAGAAAUAGACUAUACUUCUUUUUGGAAAGAGGGAUUAAGUCACAUUACAAUGGGGCUGAUAGUGAGAUGAUCCAUGUCGGUGCUUAACAGGGCCCAGAGGAAGAUAAGCCAUCAAUUCUUUUGGCUUCCUUUUAAGCCCCAUAAAACAAUUGCUUCAGAUAUUAUACACUGUAUUAACAAUGAUAAUCAGUUUUAUGCAUGCUCA